CCUACGGGUGGCUGCAGUGGGGAAUUUUGGGCAAUGGGGGAGACCCUGACCCAGCGACGCCGCGUGAGGGAGGAAGGCCCUUGGGUCGUAAACCUCUUUUGCAGGGGAAGAAGCGGAUGACGGUACCUUGCGAAUAAGUCCCGGCUAACUACGUGCCAGCAGCCGCGGUAACACGUAGGGGACGAGCGUUGUCCGGAAUUACUGGGCGUAAAGGGCGCGCAGGCUGUGCGUCGAGUCGGCUGUUGAAAGGCGGGGCUCAACCCCGCGAAGCGGUCGAGACCGGCGUGCUGGAGAGCUGCAGAGGCAGGCGGAAUUCCCGGUGUAGCGGUGAAAUGCGUAGAUAUCGGGAAGAACACCGGUGGCGAAGGCGGCCUGCUGGGCAGUUACUGACGCUGAGGCGCGAAAGCCAGGGUAGCGAACGGGAUUAGAUACCCUUGUAGUC
This 442-nucleotide ribosomal RNA is filed under the name uncultured Synergistaceae bacterium. Its description in RNAcentral is "bacterial SSU rRNA". It matches the Rfam family "Bacterial small subunit ribosomal RNA", at positions 338 to 795 of the family's 1533-position model. The record is from RNAcentral. Lineage: Bacteria; Thermotogati; Synergistota; Synergistia; Synergistales; Synergistaceae.